Molecule: ribosomal RNA, 253 nt
Filed under: uncultured bacterium
Lineage: Bacteria
Description: partial 16S ribosomal RNA
Rfam family: Bacterial small subunit ribosomal RNA
Source: RNAcentral
UACGAAGGUGGCAAGCGUUACUCGGAUUUACUAGGCGUAAAGGGCAGGCAGGUGGUCUGAUAAGUCUGUUGUGAAAGCUCCUGGCUUAACUGGGAGAGGUCAACAGAAACUAUCGGGCUUGAGUAUGGGAGAGGAUACUGGAAUUCCCGGUGUAGCGGUGAAAUGCGCAGAGAUCGGGAGGAACACCUAUGGCGAAAGCAGGUAUCUGGACCAUUACUGACACUCAGCUGCGAAAGCUAGGGGAGCAAACAGG